GAUUCGGAAUGGGCGAGAGCCUGACCGAGCAACNCCGCGUGCAGGAGGACGCUUUUCGGAGUGUCNACUGCUUUUGUCUGGGAAGAGGAUGGACGGUACCAGAGGAAGAAGCCCCGGCUAACUACGUGCCAGCAGCCGCGGUAAUACGUAGGGGGCGAGCGUUGUCCGGAGUUACUGGGCGUAAAGGGCAUGCAGGCGGUGGCGCGCGUUUUGUGUGACAGCGGAUGGCUUAACUAUCCGAGCAUACGAAAGACGGCGGCACUUGAGAGCGCGAGAGGGACACGGAAUUCCGGGUGGAGUGGUGAAAUGCGUAGAGAUCCGGAGGAACACCGAAGGCGAAGGCAGUGUCCUGGCGCGUAUCUGACGCUGAGGUGCGAAAGCCAGGGGAGCGAACGGGAUUAGAUACCCCGGUAGUCCUGGCCGUAAACGAUGACCACUAGGUGUAGGAGGUAUCGACCCCUUCUGUGCCGUCGGGAACCCAUUAAGUGGUCCGCCUGGGGAGUACGGUCGCAAGAUUAAAACUCAAAGGAAUUGACGGA
This 539-nucleotide ribosomal RNA is filed under the name uncultured bacterium. RNAcentral describes it as "bacterial SSU rRNA". It matches the Rfam family "Bacterial small subunit ribosomal RNA", at positions 359 to 917 of the family's 1533-position model. The record is from RNAcentral.